Molecule: ribosomal RNA, 774 nt
Filed under: uncultured Neocallimastigales
Lineage: Eukaryota; Fungi; Neocallimastigomycota; Neocallimastigomycetes; Neocallimastigales
Description: partial large subunit ribosomal RNA
Rfam family: Eukaryotic large subunit ribosomal RNA
Source: RNAcentral
UAUGUGAUCGUCUCUCGCAUAUCAAUAAGCGGAGGAAAAGAAACUAACAAGGAUUCCCCUAGUAACGGCGAGUGAAGCGGGAAGAGCUCAAAUUUGAAAUCUUAAAGGGUUUCCCUUUACGAAUUGUAGUUUAAAGAAGUGUUUUCUGUUGAGGUUUUGGUAAAAGUUCUUUGGAAUAGGACAUCAUAGAGGGUGAGAAUCCCGUAUUUGACCUUUACUUUCAACUUUGUGAUACACUUUCAAAGAGUCGGAUUGUUUGGGAAUGCAGUCCAAAAUGGGUGGUAAAUUUCAUCUAAAGCUAAAUAUUGGCGAGAGACCGAUAGCGAACAAGUACCGUGAGGGAAAGAUGAAAAGAACUUUGAAAAGAGAGUUAAACAGUACGUGAAAUUGUCAAAAGGGAAGCGUUUGACACCAGUGUUGUUUUUCUGAAAAUCAAUUAAAGAACUGUUUAUGCUAAGCUGUUUAGACUUUAUCAGCUAACUGUUUAGUUUUGAGCUUUUCUUUAAUGCACUUUUCAGUUAACAAGUCAACAUCAAUUUCUUUUGCUGUAAAAAAGCUUGAGGAAGGUGGCUUGAGAUUCGUCUUAAGUGUUUAUAGCCUCUUGCCUAUGCAGUCGGAGAGAUUGAGGUCUGCAGCGUAGAUCCUUCGGGGCUAAAUGCAUUUGUGCUAAGUUAUAGCAUUUUAUAGACAACUUGUUGACUAUGAUUUGUCUUGUAGCUUACUCGCUUAUGUUAUUUUACCUACGCUUAGGAUGUUGAUCUCUCACAGUCGAGC